GAAAAAUCUUAAAGGAACUUGUUUUUUAAUCGAUAAUACUCGUUAAAUUUCUCCUUACUACAAAGCUUAUAUACCGCCGUAUUAAAUAAACUUUAUACACUUUCAUUUAAACUUACUUUAAAAAAUCAGGUCAAGGUGUAGCCAAUACUAAGUGAUAAAAUUAGUUACUUAUAAAAAAAAUUUAUAGAAUAAAUUUAAAUAUUAAAAAAAUAGGAUUUAAACACAAUUUAUUAUUAAUAUUCAUAAAUGAAAUUCAAUUAUC
Molecule: ribosomal RNA, 262 nt
Filed under: Parachtes limbarae
Lineage: Eukaryota; Metazoa; Arthropoda; Arachnida; Araneae; Dysderidae
Description: partial 12S ribosomal RNA
Source: RNAcentral